UCAUUCCUCCCCACGAAUAUCUUACUCUGCAACAUCUUUAGGUUUUGGUGAUUCAUUUGUAUACUCCUAUGUGUUUCUUCUAUGAAGUCUUUUCUAAUGUAGCGGCACUCGUCGAUAAAAUUCAUAACGGUUUCCGUCCAGUGAACCCGCUACACAAAAAAAUCGUGUUUACAGAAAGAUGAGUUUAUUAUAGAUCCGACAACCUUAGGCGGUUACCGAAGGUUAAUCAAAAUCCGUCGUUUUUGUUGUGAUCAUAUGCCCUCGAGUCGACUACCCGAAAAGUCAAAAUUCGUAAACAAGAGUUCAGCGUCCGUUGGAAUCUUUCGAGAACAUUUUCAAAAUUAAAAUCCCAACGCCUUUUGUCAACUCCGACGGUUACAAAUAUAGCGAACAGGGUAGCGAGGCAUUCUUUUGUUAUCGAGUGACACGAGCAGUAGCAGCUAAGUCGAUACUUCCCUUGCGCCGAUCUAUUCGUAAUCGCGAAUCAAGACAACAGUUGUAUUAUACGACUAGUGUACACGUAGGGUAUACUUUAAUAAACUACAUAGUUAAAUAUACUCUGGUGUGUUUAAACCUAAAUCGCUUACAUACACCUCACUAAUAUCCUCUGAAGGUGCUAUACUUGUUUCCAUAUAACAGUAAUUUCGACGAUAAUUUCGGUGUUUUCGAGUAUUUUUCAGAUGAGAGUUUAAUAUUUCUGAAUGAUAGGUUGAUUCUGGUUCUUUCCCAAAUGACAAUAUAAUGGCUGUUGUUUCCGUUUCCUUGAGUAUAGCUUUCAAGUUUCGUAGUACUGUGACGAUAUUUUCGUCCUUCGGUUCUUC
RNAcentral lists this unclassified non-coding RNA (821 nucleotides) under Bombus terrestris (buff-tailed bumblebee). Its description in RNAcentral is "misc RNA ENSBTSG00005021829.1". The record is from RNAcentral. Lineage: Eukaryota; Metazoa; Arthropoda; Insecta; Hymenoptera; Apidae.